This 301-nucleotide ribosomal RNA is filed under the name uncultured bacterium. RNAcentral's name for it is "partial 16S ribosomal RNA". It matches the Rfam family "Bacterial small subunit ribosomal RNA", at positions 509 to 807 of the family's 1533-position model. The record is from RNAcentral.
CAGUCGCCGCGGGAAUACGGAGGGAGCUAGCGUUGUUCGGAAUUACUGGGCGUAAAGCGCACGUAGGCGGAUAUUUCAGUCAGGGGUGAAAUCCCAGAGCUCAACUCUGGAACUGCCUUUGAUACUGGGUAUCUUGAGUAUGGAAGAGGUUAGUGGAAUUGCGAGUGUAGAGGUGAAAUUCGUAGAUAUUCGCAGGAACACCAGUGGCGAAGGCGACUAACUGGUCCAUAACUGACGCUGAGGUGCGAAAGCGUGGGGAGCAAACAGGAUUAGAUACCCCCGUAGUCCCUGUCUCUUAUAC